CUUUUGCUGGCGACCGGCGCACGGGUGAGUAACACGUAUCCAACCUGCCCUUUACUCGGGGAUAGCCUUUCGAAAGAAAGAUUAAUACCCGAUAGCAUAAUGAUUCCGCAUGGUUUCAUUAUUAAAGGAUUCCGGUAAAGGAUGGGGAUGCGUUCCAUUAGGUUGUUGGUGAGGUAACGGCUCACCAAGCCUUCGAUGGAUAGGGGUUCUGAGAGGAAGGUCCCCCACAUUGGAACUGAGGCACGGUCCAA
Molecule: ribosomal RNA, 251 nt
Filed under: uncultured bacterium
Lineage: Bacteria
Description: partial 16S ribosomal RNA
Rfam family: Bacterial small subunit ribosomal RNA
Source: RNAcentral